CCUACGGGUGGCUGCAGUGAGGAAUAUUGGUCAAUGGCCGGAAGGCUGAACCAGCCAAGCCGCGUGAGGGAGGAAGGCGCAGAGCGUCGCAGACCUCUUUUGCCGGGGGACAAAAGGCCGGACGGGUCCGGUUCUGAGGGUACCCGGAGAAAAAGCAUCGGCUAACUCCGUGCCAGCAGCCGCGGUAAUACGGAGGAUGCGAGCGUUAUCCGGAUUCAUUGGGUUUAAAGGGUGCGUAGACGGAGAAGCAAGUUAGUUGUGAAAUCCCUCGGCUUAACUUAGGAACUGCAACUAAAACUACUUCCCUUGAGUACUGGAGAGGAAAGUGGAAUUCCUAGUGUAGCGGUGAAAUGCGUAGAGAUUAGGCGGAACACCAGUGGCGAAGGCGACUUUCUGGACAGUAACUGACGUUGAGGCACGAAAGUGUGGGGAGCAAACAGGAUUAGAUACCCGUGUAGUC
Molecule: ribosomal RNA, 460 nt
Filed under: uncultured bacterium
Lineage: Bacteria
Description: partial 16S ribosomal RNA
Rfam family: Bacterial small subunit ribosomal RNA
Source: RNAcentral